AGGCUGCCCAGGGAGGGCGUGGGGUCUCCCUCUCUGGACACUUUCCAAACCCACCUGGACACAUGGGCACAUUCCUGUGUCACCUGCUCGGGGUGACCUUGCCUUGGCUGGGGCGUUGGACUAAGCGAUCUCCACAGGCCGCUUCCAGCCCUAACUAUUCUGUGAUGUCGUGAUUCAAGACGAUUUAAAUUUUAAAUUUGGAGGUGACGUGACUCCAUACACUUUGGAAAACUCCGGCCCUCGAGGCUCACCCUAAUUUGAGGUGUCCAGCAGGCGCCACCAAGCAUUGAACAGAUCACCACGACUUCUAAUGGCACAUCAGACACCAGCUCUCUAACCAGCAUGGUAGGCGCCCAAUAUGAGGCCUGCAUCAGGCAGGUGGGAUUUGGACUCACAAUCCUCUCACAGAGCAGGAGGUAUGUCUAAAUCAGCCAGGAGGAAGAGACGAAGAGAUAGCACAUUGGAAAUCCCGAUUUAUCCCAAGAC
Molecule: long non-coding RNA, 486 nt
Filed under: Cyanistes caeruleus (blue tit)
Lineage: Eukaryota; Metazoa; Chordata; Aves; Passeriformes; Paridae
Description: lncRNA (ENSCCEG00000017785.1)
Source: RNAcentral